GACGAACGCUGGCGGCGUGCUUAACACAUGCAAGUCGAACGCUGAAGCCCUUCGGGGUGGAUGAGUGGCGAACGGGUGAGUAACACGUGGGUAAUCUGCCCUGCACUCUGGGAUAAGCCUUGGAAACGGGGUCUAAUACCGGAUAGGACACAUCGCCGCAUGGUGUGUGUGUGGAAAGUUCCGGCGGUGCAGGUUGAGCCCGCGGCCUAUCAGCUUGUUGGUGGGGUGAUGGCCUACCAAGGCGACGACGGGUAGCCGGCCUGAGAGGGUGACCGGCCACAGUGGGACUGGGACCCGGCCCAGGCUCCUACGGGGGGCAGAGGUGGGAAAGCUGGGGGAAGGGGCAAAAGCCGUACGCAGCACCGCCGCGUGGGGGAUGACGGCUUUCGGGUUGUAACCCUCUUCCGACCGGGACGAAGAAUUCUUUUGCCGGUACCGGAAGAAGAAGCACCGGCUAACUACGUGCCAGCCGCCGCCGUAA
This 481-nucleotide ribosomal RNA is filed under the name uncultured bacterium. RNAcentral describes it as "partial 16S ribosomal RNA". It matches the Rfam family "Bacterial small subunit ribosomal RNA", at positions 28 to 523 of the family's 1533-position model. The record is from RNAcentral.